GCUCAGGACGAACGCUGGCGGCGUGCCUAAUACAUGCAAGUCGAACGAACUCUGGUAUUGAUUGGUGCUUGCAUCAUGAUUUACAUUUGAGUGAGUGGCGAACUGGUGAGUAACACGUGGGAAACCUGCCCAGAAGCGGGGGAUAACACCUGGAAACAGAUGCUAAUACCGCAUAACAACUUGGACCGCAUGGUCCGAGUUUGAAAGAUGGCUUCGGCUAUCACUUUUGGAUGGUCCCGCGGCGUAUUAGCUAGAUGGUGGGGUAACGGCUCACCAUGGCAAUGAUACGUAGCCGACCUGAGAGGGUAAUCGGCCACAUUGGGACUGAGACACGGCCCAAACUCCUACGGGAGGCAGCAGUAGGGAAUCUUCCACAAUGGACGAAAGUCUGAUGGAGCAACGCCGCGUGAGUGAAGAAGGGUUUCGGCUCGUAAAACUCUGUUGUUAAAGAAGAACAUAUCUGAGAGUAACUGUUCAGGUAUUGACGGUAUUUAACCAGAAAGCCACGGCUAACUACGUGCCAGCAGCCGCGGUAAUACGUAGGUGGCAAGCGUUGUCCGGAUUUAUUGGGCGUAAAGCGAGCGCAGGCGGUUUUUUAAGUCUGAUGUGAAAGCCUUCGGCUCAACCGAAGAAGUGCAUCGGAAACUGGGAAACUUGAGUGCAGAAGAGGACAGUGGAACUCCAUGUGUAGCGGUGAAAUGCGUAGAUAUAUGGAAGAACACCAGUGGCGAAGGCGGCUGUCUGGUCUGUAACUGACGCUGAGGCUCGAAAGUAUGGGUAGCAAACAGGAUUAGAUACCCUGGUAGUCCAUACCGUAAACGAUGAAUGCUAAGUGUUGGAGGGUUUCCGCCCUUCAGUGCUGCAGCUAACGCAUUAAGCAUUCCGCCUGGGGAGUACGGCCGCAAGGCUGAAACUCAAAGGAAUUGACGGGGGCCCGCACAAGCGGUGGAGCAUGUGGUUUAAUUCGAAGCUACGCGAAGAACCUUACCAGGUCUUGACAUACUAUGCAAAUCUAAGAGAUUAGACGUUCCCUUCGGGGACAUGGAUACAGGUGGUGCAUGGUUGUCGUCAGCUCGUGUCGUGAGAUGUUGGGUUAAGUCCCGCAACGAGCGCAACCCUUAUUAUCAGUUGCCAGCAUUAAGUUGGGCACUCUGGUGAGACUGCCGGUGACAAACCGGAGGAAGGUGGGGAUGACGUCAAAUCAUCAUGCCCCUUAUGACCUGGGCUACACACGUGCUACAAUGGAUGGUACAACGAGUUGCGAACUCGCGAGAGUAAGCUAAUCUCUUAAAGCCAUUCUCAGUUCGGAUUGUAGGCUGCAACUCGCCUACAUGAAGUCGGAAUCGCUAGUAAUCGCGGAUCAGCAUGCCGCGGUGAAUACGUUCCCGGGCCUUGUACACACCGCCCGUCACACCAUGAGAGUUUGUAACACCCAAAGUCGGUGGGGUAACCUUUUAGGAACCAGCCGCCUAAGGUGGGACAGAUGAUUAGGGUGAAGUC
This 1500-nucleotide ribosomal RNA is filed under the name Lacticaseibacillus paracasei. Its description in RNAcentral is "bacterial SSU rRNA". It matches the Rfam family "Bacterial small subunit ribosomal RNA". Lineage: Bacteria; Bacillati; Bacillota; Bacilli; Lactobacillales; Lactobacillaceae. The record is from RNAcentral.